RNAcentral lists this ribosomal RNA (406 nucleotides) under uncultured bacterium. RNAcentral's name for it is "partial 16S ribosomal RNA". It matches the Rfam family "Bacterial small subunit ribosomal RNA", at positions 30 to 526 of the family's 1533-position model. The record is from RNAcentral.
AUUGAACGCUGGCGGCAGGCCUAACACAUGCAAGUCGAACGAGUGGCGGACGGGUGAGUAAUGUCUGGGAAACUGCCCGAUGGAGGGGGAUAACUACUGGAAACGGUAGCUAAUACCGCAUACCAUCGGAUGUGCCCAGAUGGGAUUAGCUAGUAGUUGUGGUAACGGCUCACCUGGGCGACGAUCCCUAGCUGGUCUGAGAGGAUGACCAGUCACCCUGUAACUGCGACACGGUCCAGACUCCUACGGGAGGCAGCAGUGGGGAAUAUUGCACUAUGGGCGCAAGCUUGAUGCAGCCAUGCCGCGUGUAUGAAGAAGGCCUUCGGGUUGUAAAGUACUUUCAGCGAGGAGGCGUUACUCGCAGAAGAAGCACCGGCUAACUCCGUGACAGCAGCCGCGGUAAGUC